AGUGAACGCUGGCGGUAGGCCUAACACAUGCAAGUCGAACGGCAGCACAGGAGAGCUUGCUCUCUAGGUGGCGAGUGGCGGACGGGUGAGGAAUACAUCGGAAUCUGCCCAGUCGUGGGGGAUAACGUAGGGAAACUUACGCUAAUACCACAUACGACCUUCGGGUGAAAGAGGGGGAUCGCAAGACCUCUCGCGAUUGGAUGAGCCGAUGUCGGAUUAGCUAGUUAGCGGGGUAAUGGCCCACCAAGGCGACGAUCCGUAGCUGGUCUGAGAGGAUGAUCAGCCACACUGGAACUGAGACACGGUCCAGACUCCUACGGGAGGCAGCAGUGGGGAAUAUUGGACAAUGGGCGCAAGCCUGAUCCAGCCAUACCGCGUGGGUGAAGAAGGCCUUCGGGUUGUAAAGCCCUUUUGUUGGGAAAGAAAUCUUUCAGGCUAAUACCCUGGGAGGAUGACGGUACCCAAAGAAUAAGCACCGGCUAACUUCGU
RNAcentral lists this ribosomal RNA (489 nucleotides) under uncultured bacterium. RNAcentral describes it as "partial 16S ribosomal RNA". It matches the Rfam family "Bacterial small subunit ribosomal RNA", at positions 29 to 506 of the family's 1533-position model. The record is from RNAcentral.